Molecule: non-coding RNA, 133 nt
Organism: Desulfotomaculum sp. 46_296
Lineage: Bacteria; Bacillati; Bacillota; Clostridia; Eubacteriales; Desulfotomaculaceae
Source: Rfam
UAACACCUUCGGGGACGGGUGGAAUUCCCUAUCGGCGGUAAGAAGCGACUAGGUUUUGAGCCCGCUAGCCUUUAUGGCUGAUCUGGUGAAAAUCCAGGGCCGACAGUAACAGUCUGGAUGGGAGAAGGUUUUA